UAGGGAAUCUUCCACAAUGGGCGCAAGCCUGAUGGAGCAACACCGCGUGAGUGAAGAAGGGUUUCGGCUCGUAAAGCUCUGUUGUUAAAGAAGAACACGUAUGAGAGUAACUGUUCAUACGCUGACGGUAUUUAACCAGAAAGUCACGGCUAACUACGUGCUAG
RNAcentral lists this ribosomal RNA (164 nucleotides) under uncultured bacterium. RNAcentral describes it as "partial 16S rRNA". It matches the Rfam family "Bacterial small subunit ribosomal RNA", at positions 355 to 511 of the family's 1533-position model. The record is from RNAcentral.